AAUAGAUACCCUGGUAGUCCUAGCCGUAAACGAUGAGCACUUGAUUGAGGGCCCCCCCAUAGGCUCUCGAUCGCAGCGAAAGUGUUAAGUGCUCCGCCUGGGGAGUAUGGUCGCAAGGCUGAAACUCAAAGGAAUUGACGGGGGCUCACACAAGCGGUGGAGGAUGUGGCUUAAUUCGAGGCUACGCGAAGAACCUUAUCCAGGCCUUGGCAUGUACGGAUGCUGCCCGUGAAAGCGGGUUAGUUGCCUUCGGGUGAAACGUGCACAGGUGCUGCAUGGCUGUCGUCAGCUCGUGUCGCGAGAUGUCGGGUUAAGUCCCUUAACGAGCGAAACCCUUGUCCUUAGUUGCCAGCGAGUCAUGUCGGGGACUCUAAGGAGACUGCCGGCGUUAAGCCGGAGGAAGGUGGGGAUGACGUCAAGUCCUCAUGGCCUUUAUGGUCUGGGCUGCACACGUCCUACAAUGGCGUAUACAAAGGGAUGCUACCUCGCGAGAGCAAGCAAAUCCCAAAAAGUACGCCCCAGUUCGGAUUG
This 531-nucleotide ribosomal RNA is filed under the name uncultured bacterium. RNAcentral describes it as "bacterial SSU rRNA". It matches the Rfam family "Bacterial small subunit ribosomal RNA", at positions 777 to 1300 of the family's 1533-position model. The record is from RNAcentral.